AGCUGGAUAGAGCAGUUUGGUAGCUCGUCGGGCUCAUAACCCGGAGGUCGUAGGUUCAAAUCCUGCUCCCGCAACCA
RNAcentral lists this transfer RNA (77 nucleotides) under Enterococcus faecalis. RNAcentral describes it as "tRNA-Met". It matches the Rfam family "tRNA". From Rfam's summary of the family: Transfer RNA (tRNA) molecules are approximately 80 nucleotides in length. Their secondary structure includes four short double-helical elements and three loops (D, anti-codon, and T loops). The record is from RNAcentral. Lineage: Bacteria; Bacillati; Bacillota; Bacilli; Lactobacillales; Enterococcaceae.